UGAGAGCGGCGGACGGGUGAGUAAUACCUAGGAAUCUGCCUAGGUAGUGGGGGAUAACGUUCGGAAACGGACGCUAAUACCGCAUACGUCCUACGGGAGAAAGCAGGGGACCUUCGGGCCUUGCGCUAUCAGAUGAGCCUAGGUCGGAUUAGCUAGUUGGUGAGGUAAUGGCUCACCAAGGCUACGAUCCGUAACUGGUCUGAGAGGAUGAUCAGUCACACUGGAACUGAGACACGGUCCAGACUCCUACGGGAGGCAGCAGUGGGGAAUAUUGGACAAUGGGCGAAAGCCUGAUCCAGCCAUGCCGCGUGUGUGAAGAAGGUCUUCGGAUUGUAAAGCACUUUAAGUUGGGAGGAAGGGCAUUAACCUAAUACGUUAGUGUUUUGACGUUACCGACAGAAUAAGCACCGGCUAACUCUGUGCCAG
RNAcentral lists this ribosomal RNA (426 nucleotides) under Pseudomonas sp. R2.F1. Its description in RNAcentral is "bacterial SSU rRNA". It matches the Rfam family "Bacterial small subunit ribosomal RNA", at positions 90 to 511 of the family's 1533-position model. Lineage: Bacteria; Pseudomonadati; Pseudomonadota; Gammaproteobacteria; Pseudomonadales; Pseudomonadaceae. The record is from RNAcentral.